UACGUAGGGUGCAAGCGUUGUCCGGAAUUAUUGGGCGUAAAGAGCUCGUAGGCGGUCUGUCGCGUCUGCUGUGAAAACUCGGGGCUUAACCCCGGGCCUGCAGUGGGUACGGGCAGACUAGAGUGCGGUAGGGGAGACUGGAAUUCCGUGGUGUAGCGGUGAAAUGCGCAGAUAUCAGGAGGAACACCGGUGGCGAAGGCGGCCUGCUGGGCGUAUGGCUGACACUGGAGGCGACGACA
This 239-nucleotide ribosomal RNA is filed under the name uncultured bacterium. RNAcentral's name for it is "partial 16S ribosomal RNA". It matches the Rfam family "Bacterial small subunit ribosomal RNA", at positions 524 to 761 of the family's 1533-position model. The record is from RNAcentral.